RNAcentral lists this transfer RNA (76 nucleotides) under Caldifarciminota bacterium. RNAcentral's name for it is "tRNA-Pro". It matches the Rfam family "tRNA". From Rfam's summary of the family: Transfer RNA (tRNA) molecules are approximately 80 nucleotides in length. Their secondary structure includes four short double-helical elements and three loops (D, anti-codon, and T loops). Lineage: Bacteria; Pseudomonadati; Caldifarciminota. The record is from RNAcentral.
CGGGGAGUAGCGUAGUCCGGUUUAACGCGCCUGCUUUGGGAGCAGGAGAUCGGAGGUUCGAAUCCUCUCUCCCCGA